CCUACGGGAGGCAGCAGUAAGGAAUCUUCCACAAUGGACGAAAGUCUGAUGGAGCAACGCCGCGUGCAGGAUAAGGCCUUCGGGUUGUAAACUGCUUUUAUAUGGGAAGAUUAUGACGGUACCAUAUGAAUAAGGACCGGCUAACUACGUGCCAGCAGCCGCGGUAAUACGUAGGGUCCAAGCGUUAUCCGGAAUCACUGGGCGUAAAGCGUGCGUAGGUGGAUGCUUAAGUGUGAUGUUAAAUCGUGUGGCUCAACCAUAUCGAUGCAUCGCAUACUGGGCGUCUAGAGGGAAGCAGAGGCAAGUGGAAUUGGUAGUGUAGCAGUGAAAUGCGUAGAUAUUACCAGGAACACCAAUGGCGGAGGCAGCUUGCUGGGCUUCUUCUGACACUGAGGUACGAAAGCGUGGGGAGCGAACAGGAUUAGAUACCCUGGUAGUCCACGCCGUAAACGAUGCAUACUAGUCUUAUGGGGUAUCGACCCCCUGUGAGACGCAGCUAACGCGAUAAGUAUGCCGCCUGGGAAGUACGGCCGCAAGGCUAAAACUCAAAGGAAUUGACGG
Molecule: ribosomal RNA, 561 nt
Filed under: uncultured bacterium
Lineage: Bacteria
Description: bacterial SSU rRNA
Rfam family: Bacterial small subunit ribosomal RNA
Source: RNAcentral